AAAAAAAAAAAAAAAAAACCAACACAAAGCGCCGUAGAUAAAGUCUGAAAAGAUUAUUCAUAGGUUCUUCAAACGUUGCCAGUGCGUUGGUAAGACCGAAUGACAUGACUAGGAACUCAUAGUGACCUGAGAAUGUUCGAAAUGCCGUUUUAGGAAUUUCAUCCCUGUUAACUUUGAUUUGAUGGUAACCUGAACGAAGAUCUAUCUUCGAAAAAAAUUUGGCCCCAUAUAAUUCAUCCAACAAUUCUUGAAUUACUGGAAUUGGAUACUUGUGAGGAAUUGUUACUUUGUUCAAUGCCCUAUAAUCCACACAAAAUCUCCAACUUCCAUCUUUCUUGCGAACCAAGAAGAUAGGGCUAGAGAAUGGGCUUGAAGUAGGCUAGAUAAUUCCUGCCAUUCACAUGACCUCUAUUAACUUCUCAAUCUCAUUAUUUUGCCAAUGGCUGUAUCAAUAAGGCUUGACACUCACCGAAGCAAUUCCAGGUUGCAGAGGAAUGUUAUGGUCCGUUUCCCUAUUAGGAGGAGGGGAAGUAGGCUCAUGGAACACAAAGUGAAAUUGCUCCAUUAAUACUUGCAAUUGAUCCAGUUUGUCUGCAUCCAAAUUUAAUUCCAUCAAUCGAAGCUCUAAUUCUGAAGUGGAUUCCCAUAUCAAGGCCUAGUACUCAACGUGCUCUAAUUUCUCAAUGGAAGCAACUUAAACUCCUGCACGGGUUAAAGAUGGAUCCCCUAAAAGAGUCCCUACCCUUGUAGUUAAAUGUCAUAGUCAUCUUAGCCCAAUUAACCUUCACAUCCCUGAGUGUUUCCAACCAUGCAAUGCCCAAUAUCAUAUCCACUCCUCCCAAAGGAAAUAUAUAAUAGUUAGUCUGUAUUUUAAAUUUUCCCAAUUGAAACAACAAGUCAGAACACUUACCCGAUGAUUGAGCUUUAUGGCCAUCACCCAACUUUACACCAAAAAGGGGGUCAAUUGCACUGAUAAUUGUAGUUGGGAGCUCAAUUUAACAGCAAUAAAAUUGUGGCUAACCCCUAAUGAGGUCACGUCCCUUUAAUCGACCUCGUACCUUCAUUGUUCGCUGGCCAAUGAUUCCCCCUACUGAAAAUAAGGGCAAUUCCAACUGGGUAAUCUGACCGUCAGCCACUUCCAUUGUUUCUUGCUUAGUAUUCUCUCCCAAUUCCUCCUCAUCCUUCGACGCUUCUUCAUCCUCACCUACUGUUAGGACCCGUAAUGUCUUCUUUGGACAUUCAUGUAUCGGAUGGUAAGGCUGCUUACAACGAUAGCACAACCCCUGUGCCCUCAAAUCCACAAACUUCUAAUGCCUUAAAUGUCUUGGUCCUCGAUUUUUAUUUGCACCUUGAUUUGGAGCACACUGGAUAGUAGCAGAUGGAGCUGGUAGAUGAGGUAUCUCCCUUGAGCCAUUAUCCCAUGUUAGACCUUGGUUCUUGUCUUUUGCUGCCCGAGCCCAAGUACUACUAGUUUUGGCUGUUGGUUGGACCGGCUUAAAGGUGCCCAUAUUGUUAACUCUAUUCCUUGGCUCAUGUCAAUAUGUCCAAUGUCCAUCUUCCUCCUGUCUUAGCCAGUAUACUUACUGCAGUUGUUCCAGAACCAAAAUGCAUGAGCUCUCUUUCCAUGUCUCUUGCCAAGUUCAUCGUUUGAAAUAUAUCAACAGUGUCUCGAACCCUGAUCUUGACUCUAGUGUCUGCCUUAAGGCCUUUAAGGAAGAAACCUAUGUACUAUUAGUCCACCAUUCCCUUCACUUAAGCAGCUCUAGCUACAAACUCAUCAAUAUACUUGUCAAUAGUUCCCUCCUAUUGCAUGGCUGCCAAUCUUUUUUACAGGCUGGCAAAAGCAUCCCUACCCAAUCUCUAUAACAAUUCUAGAGACAAUUGUUCCGAUGUUAAGUUUGGUGUUCUUUGUUUUAGCCAUUGAACCCAAUGUAACGCCCCUCCUUUUGUGCAAACUAGAGCCCUGGGAACCUUCAUAUCGACAGGGGUGCAGUGUACUGAGAAGUACUGAUCUGCUCUUGCUAACCACCCAACAACAUCCUCUCCAUCAAAGCUAGGUAACUCCACCUUCUUAGCUGUUAACUGCAAUUUAUCAACCAUUGGUGGCAGAGUGUUGUGCUGGCCCGAUAAGGAACCCUGCAUGGCAAAGUUUAUUGGAGUCGCCAACACCCCUUCUGAUUGUCCCUCAUGCAACUUUCCUUUUAACACCUGGGCUAACAUUCCUUCGAUAGCAUCUAGUUUUACCAGCUUCUUCCUCGUUUGCAACAUCUCUUCCCACAUUCCAUUCAUUUUUAGAUCAUUUUGUUCUUUUUAACUAUUCAUUUUCAUCAUUCCUUCUUCCAACAAAUUCACACUGCUCUCUAUCGUUUCAAACUUAGUAUCCAUCCUCCUGUUUGGAAUUCACGGCAAUUUUUGGAUCCAUGUCAGAACAAUUUGAUAGAGUGAGGAUUAUGAAAUAGAAUUAAAACUAAAAAAAAAAAAAAAAAAAAUAA
Molecule: unclassified non-coding RNA, 2492 nt
Filed under: Hevea brasiliensis (rubber tree)
Lineage: Eukaryota; Viridiplantae; Streptophyta; Magnoliopsida; Malpighiales; Euphorbiaceae
Source: RNAcentral